UGGGAGUAAUGGAUUGAAGGUGUCAAAAUUAAUGAUAUGGGUAUAUAAAAUUUUAAUUGACUGCAGGUGUGCAGGUUUCAGGUGAGAGUCGGGAAAUCAGGGUACAAUAGACCGCUGGUAUAAAAAUAUUUGACGAGAUGGGCGUGGAUAAUUUUAAUUGAAUGCAGGUGAGAUGCUUGUUGGGUUCAAUGGAAUGUUUAAAUAGAAAACUGGUGUAUGAGGGUAAAUUUGAAUAAGAACACGUUUUUAUUAAUCAUUUCCUUCACACGCGCAUUCAUACUUAUAAAAACAUAGAUUUUAUUUUAGGUAUAUGAAUUUUAAUAGUAUAAGCUUAUAAUGAAAUUCUAUACAAUGGAGACUUCAUCAUCCAUGGAGUAGUUGGUAUGGUAGUAGUUCAGGCUUAAGCGAUGUGUUUGAUGUAAUUCGAUUUCUUUGGUGAUGAGUUGAACCGAAUCGUCAUGGAAAUAAAUUAGUUCCCGGAAGAAUGAAAAUCCAUGAUCGGAAAUAUUUGCUUCUAUUGAAGUAAAUCUUUCGUUAAAUUUAAACAUUCUAUCGAAAUGAUUUUCUAGGUACUUUAUAACUGUGGGGGUGUUUAAAACUUCUCUUGUAUCCAGUAUCAGAUAUUUUAGAAUAUAUUUUGAUAUAUGAUGGAUAGUAGAAUCAACAUAAUAUUUUAGAGGUAAUCCUUGUAGAUGGUUUAACCAGUGAUUGACUCUCGUGCUGCAUAUUUUGAGAAAGCAGUCACCGCAAUAAAAAAAAAUCGAUUAUCCUGGAGUUGUAGUAUAACAAAGCGUUCAUUUUUAAAUUCAGAAAACUGAAUUUUAAAUUCUCCGUGUUCAAUUUGACAGAACUUACGAUAAAAAGCUGGGUUUUCUUCAUCGUAAAAAUAAUUAUUGAUGGUUUCCAUGGAACUACUUACUCAUUAAGAUUUAAUUGUAUUUCACAUUUUGGUUGUACACUGAUGAUUUGUACGACAGGUUUAAAGUCAUUGUCGUAAUAUUUUAAGCCGCAUCGUAACUACUUUGUGUUCGAUUUAUUUAAUGAAAUUACUUGAGCUUGGUAUACAAAGUCUUGGGAUGCCAUGGCUCUGAAGUGUUUGUAGUGCAGUCACAAUUUAUACGGAUUUAUAUUUGUUAUUUAAACUUACACAUGGAGUAGGAAAAAAGAGUGAAGGGGGGUGAUGGCCCAGAGCUCUGAUUUUCUGAAGGGGGGUCAACUAAUGGAGGGGGACAUUAACAAUUUUGAAUUUGAGAAAUUUAUUUUAUCGUUAUAUUUCAUUUAAGUGUUGUACGGCUUUACUAAAAAAUGUAUAAUUUAGACCUAUCGCUCGGGCAGCGGCAUAUAAAUUUAAAAGAGUUUUUUCAGGAAUAAAAACGACUCAAAAUUAGAAAAAAAAAAUUUCAAAAGUGUUUUAUAAGAGUGUUAUUGAAAAAAUACUUGAUUUUUAAAAUAUUAAUGCAAAUAGUGAAAAACAAUGUAAGUUAUGUGUAGGCUAUUUAAAGAAACCUCAUGUGAAUCUGUGGAAAUUUUCAGCCUUCGUAAGCGAAGAUUUAGACUUUUUUGAAUUGUGUCUUGCGAUACCUAGUUUGUGUAUACCUGAACGCAUGACACAAGAAUAUUAUGAGCACACUUCCUGGGAAAUUAAGUAUCACCCGCCUUCACUUAGGAGCAUAGCAAGCACUAGCAUCCUUACAAAUGCGGAUACAUAAUCUCAAAGUAUCGACUCAGAAUAUCUUGUUCACUUAUUGAAGUUCAAUCUGACGAAAAAAGUGUUAGCUUUAAGCCCCCCAUUGAAUCUUAACUAUGAAAUCGAAGAAAAACCAAUUAAAGAGAUGCAGUUAUGUGAAUUACAGUGUUGGGGUAGUGGUCGGCACUAUGUUCCUUUUUAUUCAGCGACUUUAUAUUGUUGUGGAAGAGAGAUAGAUUCGGUCAAAUGAAUAAUGUAUACCAUUAAAUAUUAGAAAACUGGAAAUUGUAAAGUCAUUGGUGGUGGGAGAACAGUGAUAAAUUUGGUAUAAAGAGCAGGAGGAUCCAAAACCUAACAGUCAGUGCUUGUAUUUGGAAGUGGUCACUACAGUGAAAAGUUAACAAAUAUUAACGAUAUCAAGUGAAUUGGAAGCAUUGCAUCCUUUAUUAAACGAUGGUUUUGAUGAAGAACUCAUAGCUAUUGGUGAGGGUUUUGAGAAGCAGCACCAGGUUGUUAUGAAGAUAAAUGGACUUAAUAUAACUCCAGAUUCAAGUGAAGACUCAGGGCAAGAUAUGUAUCCUGCAUCUCAGGAAAAAUAUAUGAAAAUGCAUGGACUCCGGUGAAAAUCGUCUCAAUUCGAUAAGCAGGUUUCGUUACCCCAUGGCAUCACAAAGUUUAGUCGAUCUUUAUGUCCAGGUAUUUGCAUAAAUUAAAUUUAUAUAGUUCUUCAUCAUAUAAUUAGGUAUUAAUAUUGAGUUCAUUUUAUUGUUGAAAACAGAGGAGAUCUUGGAAAAGAUAACUUCAGAGACAGUAGAGAAAAUCGAUAUUGAGUUAGAAACUCACAUGAAUAUUAAUCUUGAAUCUGUCUAUCAAACGUGGGAGUAUGCACGCUCAGAUGAGUCCAGUAGGAGAGAGCUUCUAGAGGAAAAGAAAAAUGAAGUUGUAUUCGAUUUCUUAAAGUCGUUUUUUUAGAUGGAAAUGAAUAUCCCUCUUCAUCAACUCCGAUCUCUCAAAGUCAAGAGCCAGCUCUAGUAGGUGUAUCUGAGAAAAAUGCUGAGUCUCCACAUGAAGAUAUGACGUUGAGCAGAAGAAAAAAAAACAACAAAUAAAAAUUCGGAAGGUCAA
This is a long non-coding RNA of Microplitis demolitor, 2812 nucleotides long. RefSeq lists it as uncharacterized. The record is from RefSeq and is a predicted model, not a curated record. The transcript has 3 exons. Lineage: Eukaryota; Metazoa; Arthropoda; Insecta; Hymenoptera; Braconidae.